UUAAAAAGCUCGUAGUUGGAUCUCGGCGAUAGGGGGCGGUUCGUUGUUUGACGGUACUGCCCCAUUUACUCGUGUUUUUGACAGAGGGUUGGAGGUCCCCUUUAUUGGGUGUCUUCGGUCACUGUCAGGUUUACUUUGAAAAAAUUAGAGUGCUCAAAGCAUGCUGUUUAUGCAUGAAUACUAGUGCAUGGAAUAAUAGAAUAGGAAGUCGUUUCUAUUUUGUUGGUUUUCGGAAAAUGACUUAAUGAUUAAUAGGGACAAUCGGGGGCAUUAGUAUUCAAACGACAGAGGUGAAAUUCUUGGUCCGUUUGAAGACUAACUACUGCGAAAGCAUUUGCCAAGAGUGUUUUCAUUAAUCAAGAACGAAAGUUAGAGGUUCGAAGGCGAUCAGAUACCGCCCUAGUUCUAACCAUAAACGAUGCCAGCUAGCGAUCUGCGGGUGUGUAUUUCCAAGACCCCGCAGGGAGCUUCCGGGAAACCAAAGCUGUGGGUCCGGGGGA
RNAcentral lists this ribosomal RNA (500 nucleotides) under uncultured eukaryote. RNAcentral describes it as "SSU rRNA". It matches the Rfam family "Eukaryotic small subunit ribosomal RNA", at positions 619 to 1121 of the family's 1831-position model. The record is from RNAcentral.